GACGAACGCUGGCGGCGUGCUUAACACAUGCAAGUCGAACGAUGAAGCUGGAGCUUGCUCUGGCGGAUUAGUGGCGAACGGGUGAGUAACACGUGAGAAAUCUGCCCUUGACUCUGGGAUAACUGCGGGAAACUGUAGCUAAUACCGGAUACUUUCCCUGGUGGGCAUCCACUGGGGAAGAAAGAAUUUCGGUCAAGGAUGAUCUCGCGGCCUAUCAACUUGUUGGGGAGGUAAUGGCUCACCAAGGCGACGACGGGUAGCCGGCCCGAGAGGGCGACCGGCCACACUGGGACUGGGACACGGCACAGACACCUACGGGAGGCAGCAGUGGGGAAUAUUGCACAAUGGGGGCAAGCCUGAUGCAGCAACGCCGCGUGAGGGAUGAAGGCCUUCGGGUUGUAAACCUCUUUUAGCAGGGAAGAAGCGAAAGUGACGGUACCUGCAGAAAAAGCACCGGCUAACUACGUGCCAGCCGCCGCCGUAA
This 484-nucleotide ribosomal RNA is filed under the name uncultured bacterium. Its description in RNAcentral is "partial 16S ribosomal RNA". It matches the Rfam family "Bacterial small subunit ribosomal RNA", at positions 28 to 523 of the family's 1533-position model. The record is from RNAcentral.